AUGGUCGUCUCUGCUGUCAAGGGGAGGGCGAUCGGGAACCAGCCGCUGGCCCGGUCGCUCGCCCGCAUCAGGGAGCUGCUCUACGGCGCGGAAGAUCUGGUGGACGAGCUCCACUACUGGAGGCUCCAGCAGCAGCUGGAAUUGGAAGGAGGCACAAGGCAUGACCUUGACGAAACGGAUGCACAUGGAUCACUGCAAGUGGAGAGAUCGACUGGGAGUAGCAGUGUUGGCGGAUUACGGUCCGAGUCCUGGGGACACUUUGAUAUCGAGGAAUUUGUUGAAAAUGGAGGGCCUGUCAAAGCAAUAUGUAAACACUGCCGUGCAGUGGUUGUGUGCACAACUGACAAGGGGACACCUAUUUUGUGCAAGCAUCUCAAGAGUAAAAGUUGUAAGAAGAAACGUGGAGCAAGUGACCCUUCAAGCACUGGUGAUGCUACUGCAAGUGCUACUUCUACUGCAACUGAUGGUAUUUCAUCCACCAGAAACAUGAGAGGGUCUGAGGUUGAGGAGCCAAAACACGGCACCAGAUCCGACACAUACACUUGGGACAAGGUCACCUUUUCCAAUAGGAUAAAAGACAUAACUCAUCAGUUGCAAGGCAUCCGAGGAGAUGUGAGAGCAGCUCUAAUGAUACUUGGGUCAGACUCUAGUGCAAGUUCAAACCACCAUGUAGAACAUCCACACCGUAGAACAUCAAGUCUUGUUCAGGGAAAAGUUUAUGGGAGAGAUUAUGAGAAGGCAGAAAUCAUACGGCUGAUAAAAGGACACAAAUUAUCUAGCAGUGUAACAGUUCUGACUGUUUUAGGCAUUGGUGGGGUUGGGAAGACAACCCUUGCUCAACUGGUAUACAACGAUCCAUCUGUGGAAAGUCAAUUUGACCACAGAAUAUGGAUUUCAGUGUCCAACAAAUUUGAUGAAACGAGAAUCUCAAGAGAGAUGUUGGAUUUUGUCUCCCAAGGAACACAUGAAGGGCUGUACAGCUUUGCCAGGCUUCAGGAGGUCUUGAGAGGUUAUGUUAAAUCAAAGAGGGUUCUACUUGUUUUAGAUGAUGUCUGGGAUGACAUGAAUGAUUGCCAGUGGAACCAACUAUUAGCCCCUUUCAAAUCUGACAAUGCAAAAGGCAAUAUCAUACUUGUGACAACUAGAAAACCAUCUGUUGCAAAAAGGAGAGGUACGGUUGAACCAAUUAAGUUACAUGGUUUGAAAGAAGAUGAUUUUUGGAUAUUGUUUAAAGCGUGUGUGUUUGGUGAUGAGAACUAUGAAGUGAAAGGUAGUCUUAGGACUUUGGCAUGGCAGAUAAUAGAGAAGUUGAAAGGAAACCCGCUAGCUGCAGAAACUGCAGGGGCAUUAUUAAGACAGCAUCUUACCAGUGAACAUUGGAGUAACAUUCUGAAGAGCGAAGAUUGGAAAUCCCUGCAACUCAGAAGAGGCAUUAUGCCUACUUUGAAGCUUUGUUAUGAUCAACUGCCCUACCAUUUACAACAAUGCUUCUCAUAUUGUGCUAUAUUCCCUUGCAAUUAUCGGUUUCUCGCUGAGGAGAUAGUUCGUAUUUGGAUUUCACAGGGAUUUGUGAAGUGUAGUCAUUCAGGUAUGAGAUUGGAUGAGAUAGGACGGCUCUAUCUGACUAAUUUAGUGAACCUGGGCUUCUUUCAGCAGAUUGAAGGAGGCUACUCUUCAAACAAUCAAACUACUUAUGUUAUGUGUGGUCUUAUGCAUGAUUUCGCAAGGGUAAUUUCAAGAGCUGAGUGUGCAACUUUGGAUGCUCUACAGUGCAAUGAAAUUUCAUCAACUGUGCUACAUUUGUCAAUAGUAACUGGUCGUGUGUAUUGGUAUGAUGAGAAGUUUCAACAGAUAUUGCGAAAUACAUUGAAAAAAGUUAAAAAUUUGAGAUCAUUGGUCUUAAUUGGACAGUACGACUCCCAAUUGUUCCAACAAGUAUUUGAGAAGGCACACAAUUUGCGUCUGUUACAAGUAUCUGCAACUGCUGGGUCUCAUUCCUUCCUAUGCGGUUUGGUAAAUCCUACACAUCUUCGGUAUCUAAACCUACAGGAUGCUCAUGUUUGGCCGGGAGAUUUACCACAAGUUUUGAGCAAGUUUCUCCACCUUCAAGUAUUAGAAGUUGGCUUAUGCCGUGAUACUUCGUUUACCCUUGAGCGGAUGGUUAAUCUAGAGGAUUGUGGUGAAAGGCUUAUAUUUCCAUCUCUAGAAAGACUUCCGUUUCUUACGACGUUCAAGUUGAGCAACCUGCGGAAAAUUAGAGAAGUAUCAGUUCCAUCAUUGCAGGAGCUGAUUUUAGUUGAAAUGCCAGAGUUGGAGAGAUGCACCUGCACGUCCCUAGGGGAUUUGAACUCUAGUUUAAGGGUACUGGAGAUCCGGAGCUGCCCUGCACUCAAGGUGUUCGAUCUGUUUGAGAAAGGUCAUAACUUUGUUGAGCAGCCAUCAUUGUAUGAAGGUCAUAACUACGAAACUGGGUGGAAGCUAUGGUUGCCCGGUCUUAGAGUACUCACAGUAAUCAAUUGUCCUCAUUUACUGAUGCCGUGUCUCCUACCACAUUCAACUAAUGUUUCUAGACUGCACAUCGACGGAGUUCCAACACUUCUGAAGAUGGAGGGAUCGUCCACAGAAAAUCUAGAAAUUUCUCCAAAUAGUCGAUCUGGUGAGAAUUCCGAUGAGACAGAGCUAAUAAUUCGAUGCUGUCCUGGGCUGCUCUCAUCCUUGGCGCAUAAUGAAGGAAAUGAUGUCCAGGCAAACAGAACAUGGCUUCUUCCACAGCCACUUGGACAAGUUGUGAUCAGUAACUAUGACCACAAAACACUAUCACUCUGCUUCAUGGGUAAUCUCACCUGUCUCAGAAAAUUGGAAGUAUUGGAAAGCCCAGGCUUGGAAUCUCUACAGCUGCAUUCCUGCACAUCGCUUGAAGAUUUGAGAAUUCGUGAAUGCAAACAGCUUGCCACAGUAAAGGGAAUGCAAUCCCUUGUGAACCUCAUGAAUUUGGAAGUACAAGAAAACCCUAGCUUGGUAUCUCUACAGUUGCAUUCCUGCAGGUCGCUGGAAGAUCUGAGAAUUGAAAAAUGUGAAUCACUCAUCGCACUAGAGGGCUUGCAAUCCCUUGUGAACCUCAGAAAUUUGGCCCUACUCAACUCCCCUGGCUUGCCUCCAUAUUUGGAACGUUUGUUGGGGCACUAUGAGUUGUGCCCUCGACUCGAAAGUCUUCACAUUGAUGACUUGUCUCUCCUUAACAUGUCACUGUGCAAAGGCCUCACUUGCCUCCAAUGCCUACGACUUGAGAAGCUGGAACGGGGAGGGACAAGACUAACAGAUGAGCAAGAGAGAGCGCUACUGCUCCUCAGGUCCCUGCAAGACCUUGAAUUUCAAGAUUGUUUAAACCUCGUACAUCUUCCUGCGAGACUGCACAGCCUUCCUUCCCUCAAGACAUUGAUGAUCGUUUGUUGUGAAGACAUCCCAAGGCUGCCUAAGAAGGGCCUCCCAUCUUCGCUGGAACGGCUAGUGAUAUACGAUUGCAGUACUGAGCUAAGAAAACAGUGUGAAUCGCUAACAAGAGGCAAGCUAAGGGUUACGAUGAAUGACUGA
This 3591-nucleotide ribosomal RNA is filed under the name Triticum aestivum (bread wheat). Its description in RNAcentral is "partial small subunit ribosomal RNA". Lineage: Eukaryota; Viridiplantae; Streptophyta; Magnoliopsida; Poales; Poaceae. The record is from RNAcentral.